GGGGGUGUAAUGGUUUCGACAGUUAUAUAGAAGUAGAAAUUGCAAGUAGUGGAAGGUCGCUUCGGCCACUUUAAAAAAAGCGAAAUUAAAAUUAAACGCUGAUAAUAGAGAAUUAGCAUACGCUGCCUAAGCGUGGCGUCAUCUUAUCUUAAAAUGCCUACGUUUUAGGAUAGGGUGUCAAAACUAGUAGGAUAACAAAAUUACUUUUUGCCUGGAAAGUAAUGGGUAUUUAAGGCUACUAAUAAAAGAGGUUUGUUUAUUUAUUAUUUUACUAGGAAAAUAGAAAAUAAACUAAACUUGUAACGAGGUUUCUAUGGACAUAUAAUUGGACAGGAGUUCAACUCUCCUCACCUCCACCA
This 359-nucleotide transfer-messenger RNA is filed under the name chicken gut metagenome. It matches the Rfam family "transfer-messenger RNA". Rfam says of the family: Bacterial tmRNA, also known as 10Sa RNA or SsrA, is named for its dual tRNA and mRNA-like properties. Its role is to liberate the mRNA from a stalled ribosome. The record is from RNAcentral.